RNAcentral lists this ribosomal RNA (311 nucleotides) under uncultured eukaryote. RNAcentral describes it as "partial 18S ribosomal RNA". It matches the Rfam family "Eukaryotic small subunit ribosomal RNA", at positions 1470 to 1796 of the family's 1831-position model. The record is from RNAcentral.
CCCUUAGAUGUCCUGGGCCGCACGCGUGCUACACUGAUGCAUACAGCGAGUACUCCCAGCUCCGAGAGGCUGCUGGUAAUCAGCAAUAUGCAUCGUGAUGGGGAUAGAUCUUUGGAAUUAUAGAUCUUGAACGAGGAAUUCCUAGUAAUCGCAGGUCAUCACCCUGCGUUGACUAAGUCCCUGCCCUUUGUACACACCGCCCGUCGCUCCUACCGAUUUCGAGUGAUCCGGUGAAUCAUUCGGACCGCGGCCCCUAGGCACGCGGAAAGUCUAGUAAACCAUAUCACUUAGAGGAAGGAGAAGUCGUAACA